This 421-nucleotide unclassified non-coding RNA is filed under the name soil metagenome. RNAcentral describes it as "partial contains 5.8S ribosomal RNA, internal transcribed spacer 2, and large subunit ribosomal RNA". The stretch from base 1 to 120 matches the Rfam family "5.8S ribosomal RNA", at positions 35 to 154 of the family's 154-position model. The record is from RNAcentral.
GAUGAAGAACGUAGCGAAAUGCGAUAAGUAAUGUGAAUUGCAGAAUUCAGUGAAUCAUCGAAUCUUUGAACGCACCUUGCGCUCCUUGGUAUUCCUUGGAGCAUGCCUGUUUGAGUAUCAUGAAAUCUUCAAAGUCAAACCUUUUGUUAAUUCAAUUGGUUCUGCUUUGGUAUUGGAGGAUUAUUGCAGCUUCACACCUGCUCCUCUUUGUGCAUUAGCUGGAUCUCAGUGUUAUGCUUGGUUCCACUCAGCGUGAUAAGUUAUCUAUCGCUGAGGACACCCUGUUAAAAAGGGGUGGCCAAGGUAAAUGCAGAUGAACCGCUUCUAAUAGUCCAUUGACUUGGACAAUAUCUAGUUUAUGAUCUGAUCUCAAAUCAGGUAGGACUACCCGCUGAACUUAAGCAUAUCAAUAAGCGGAGGA